RNAcentral lists this long non-coding RNA (538 nucleotides) under Mus pahari (shrew mouse). RNAcentral describes it as "lncRNA (MGP_PahariEiJ_G0003468.1)". The record is from RNAcentral. Lineage: Eukaryota; Metazoa; Chordata; Mammalia; Rodentia; Muridae.
ACUAAACAAAAAGUUACAAAGUGAACUUGCGGUGCCUCCCUGAAGGGAAAUGUAGUUAUAAUUCCAGCGCAGUGGCUCUCUCUCAGUGGCGUGAGACUUUCUACAACAGAAUGACUAAAUGCCCAGAAUGUCCCAUCACUGAACCAGGAGCCAUUAUCAAGAGGACUGUAAGGGAAGCCUCCCUCCAAUGAAUAUUCAGAAUGAUGUUUUCAUUUAUUAGGUUGAAGCAUUUAAGGGAAAUAGUUUAAGUUGGGUAUGCUUUAGAAAAUGAUCAUAUAGAGCAUUGGGUCUGGCAGCUCUGUAGAAAGAAGCAGCUGAAAGUGUUCCUCCCUCUGUUUGUAUGCUUCUGGAAGCCGUCAGAGGCCAUCUGUCAGACCAACCUGGCCUGUCUUCUGUGCUGUCACACAGGGCUGGGGCAUGUGGGCAGAAUUAAUGUGCCAGGCGAGAGGAAAGUAAGUACUGGUAUACAAAGACAAAAGGACUUCCAUCCUGUUUAUUCCAUUAAAUCUUCACAUUUAUUUAUUAGACAUGUGUCAUG